This 517-nucleotide long non-coding RNA is filed under the name Oryza brachyantha (malo sina). RNAcentral's name for it is "long non-coding RNA (OBRA_LNC001031)". The record is from RNAcentral. Lineage: Eukaryota; Viridiplantae; Streptophyta; Magnoliopsida; Poales; Poaceae.
GCAUCAGGAUUCAGACUGCACCACUGUCAUGAAAAAAUUGGACCUAAAGAUCAGAACUCGCAUGGCACCACUAAAUUAGUCAAUAGUGAAUAUGCUUUGGCUUACUCUUCUUGCAAUUCAUCGAUACUAAAUGAUAAGGGUCGUUGCUCAGUCAGGAUGGAAGUGGGCAAUCAUGCUACCCGCAUAAAAACUAGCUUUAUAGUUCCCUUCUUACUAGCUAGCAUUUAUAAGAAAAAAUUAAUUAGAAUUGUGGUAAGCGGGCAAAAAAGCCCACUUGCCAACCCUAGUUACAUCUUUAAUGGAGGAGAUCUUAGGUAUGAAAUGCUCAUAAAUCUUAGUACGAUAUGUUAUGCCUUCGAUAAUAACAAUCUACUUUGUCUAGACGAUAAACAACAGUUCAUUGUUGAAAAAGUCAUGCUAGAGAGCAAAGACUCUUCGAUUGAAGAGGUUGGAGAGUGAAGUGUUCUUUGGAGUAUUGUAGUGUCUCCUUGUUUGUUCUUGGUUCUAUAGUAUAUGU